This 1245-nucleotide long non-coding RNA is filed under the name Homo sapiens (human). RNAcentral describes it as "non-protein coding lnc-BMP6-106:6". The record is from RNAcentral. Lineage: Eukaryota; Metazoa; Chordata; Mammalia; Primates; Hominidae.
AGUUACUGGUAGAAAGGCCCCAAGGCCGGGCUUCGGUGGCUGCAGUAGACUGGAUCUGGAUCUCUAAAUGGCAAUCUAUUGACAUGGCUGCCAGCGUAAUGGAACCCCUGAUUGAUACAUGGACCCAUGACUGUCCACAAGAAAGACUACAUUUCCCAACUCCCAUGCAUCUAGAUGUGAUGGCUUGAGCUGCAACAGCCAUCUUGGACGAUGAGGAGGAAGCCAUACAUGAAUGUGGCAGAAAAACAAGAGAAGAAGCUCGGCUCACUCAUGACUAUAGAGUUGCCAAAUCUUGCUUUCUUCAAGAAAAGUGUCUAAAUGACUUUCUUCCUAGCCUUCAGUGAGAAUCCAAAAACCUCUAUUGUUAGGAAAACCCCCAGGAAGGGCAGAAAGCAACUGAAACCUAGCUCCCCUCCUCACCCCUGUCCCUGCUCCCCAAAGACUAAAGGUUGGAUGGGCCUGGGUGAUAUGAUGACAUAUGCCAAUCUCGAUCACGUGCCAGAUGCCUCCAUGUCAAUCUUCUGGCUUCCCUGGGUCACACUGGAAGAAGGAUUGUCCUGGGCCACAUAUAAAAUACAUGAACACUAACAAUAGCUGAUGAGCUAAAAAAAAAAAAAAAGAAAUUGCGGCCGGGCGUGGUGGCUCAUGCCUGUAAUACCAGCACUUUGGGGGGCCGCGGUGGGCGGAUCAUGACGUCAGGAGAUCGAGACCUUCCUGGCUAAUACAGUGAAACCCCGUCUCUACUAAAAAUACAAAAAGUUAGCCAGGUGUGGUAACGGGCGGGCGCCUGUAGUCCCAGCUACUUGGGAGGCUGAGGCAAGAGAAUGGCGUGAACCCGGGAGGUGGAGCUUGCAGUGAGCCGAGAUCGCGUCACUGCACUCCAGCCUGGGCGACAGAGCGAGACGCCGUCUAAAAGAAAAAAAAAAAAGAAAAAGAAAUUGCAAAAAAACUCAUAAGUUUUAAGAAAGUUUACGAAUUUGAUUUGAGCCACGUGUAAUGCUGUCCCAAUGCAUCCUCGGGGCCGUAGGUCGGGCAAGCUUUUUCUACGUAACCAAGAAAUAAAAUUUGUUUUGCUUAUGCCAUUUAGUUUUGUGUGUGUGCGUGUGUGUGUUUUUUCUGCCACAUAUAUAGCUAAAUCUAGUCCUGAUUAUGUCAAAGGUUUUAUUUGAAUGUUUUUGUCCACCUGGCAAAAUCUUAUUUAUUCUUCAACACUCAUCUCAGUAUAAACUCUGUAACUACUUUUUU